This 858-nucleotide long non-coding RNA is filed under the name Nicotiana benthamiana. Its description in RNAcentral is "long non-coding RNA (NBEN_LNC022267)". The record is from RNAcentral. Lineage: Eukaryota; Viridiplantae; Streptophyta; Magnoliopsida; Solanales; Solanaceae.
GAAUAAACGGAGCUGGUAACGGCCGCCGGCGGGUAAACUGGGAAUUGCAUAGCAGUUCUUUUUACCGGAGGAAACGGGGAAGUAACGGAGGGGUUUUUCUUGUGGGUGUUGAAAGUGGAGAGGCUCAGAUACGACUGAGGUUGACCCGCCGGUAAAGUAACGAUCGGAAAGCCAUGACGUAUUGAAGAUGUCAGUUGAAUUUGAAAGACUACCGCAAUCUAUAUGGACUGAAUAAUCUGCCAAAAAAAAAAGAGGGAAAAGAAGAGUUAGUUAAGUUAGUUAAAGUAAAACAGUUGGGGGAAAAUGAUGAGAAAAUGAAGAUGAAGUUAGUUAAAGUGGAACUUACUGAAAGGAUAGUGAAGAGAAGAGGAAGAAGGGAGAAAGGGUAAAAGGGAGAUGAAGAAGAAGAGAGACAUAUUGGUGUAAAGAGGGAAGAGAGAUAAUGUGAAUUUAGUUGUUUGGACAUAAGGGAGGGAAAAAGGGGGUGGUUUGGGGUGGGGACGACUGAGGUUGACCCGCCGGUAAAGUAACGAUCGGAAAGCCAUGACGUAUUGAAGAUGUCAGUUGAAUUUGAAAGACUACCGCAAUCUAUAUGUACUGAAUAAUCUGCAAAAAAAAAGAGGGAAAAGAAGAGUUAGUUAAGUUAGUUAAAAGUAAAACAGUUGGGGGAAAAUGAUGAGAAAAUGAAGAUGAAGUUAGUUAAAGUGGAGCUUACUGAAAGGAUAGUGAAGAGAAGAGGAAGAAGGGAGAAAGGGUAAAAGGGAGAUGAAGAAGAAGAAGAGAGACAUAUUGGUGUAGAUAGGGAAGAGAGAUAAUGUGAGUUUAGUUGUUUGGACAUAAAGGGAGGGAAAAAGGGGG